AUUGAACGCUGGCGGCAUGCCUAACACAUGCAAGUCGAACGGUAACGCGGGGGCAACCCUGGCGACGAGUGGCGGACGGGUGAGUAAUACAUCGGAACGUGCCCAGUAGUGGGGGAUAGCCCGGCGAAAGCCGGAUUAAUACCGCAUACGACCUACGGGUGAAAGCGGGGGAUCGCAAGACCUCGCGCUAUUGGAGCGGCCGAUGUCAGAUUAGCUAGUUGGUGGGGUAAAAGCCUACCAAGGCGACGAUCUGUAGCUGGUCUGAGAGGACGACCAGCCACACUGGGACUGAGACACGGCCCAGACUCCUACGGGAGGCAGCAGUGGGGAAUUUUGGACAAUGGGGGGCAACCCUGAUCCAGCCAUGCCGCGUGCGGGAAGAAGGCC
This 387-nucleotide ribosomal RNA is filed under the name uncultured bacterium. RNAcentral describes it as "bacterial SSU rRNA". It matches the Rfam family "Bacterial small subunit ribosomal RNA", at positions 29 to 416 of the family's 1533-position model. The record is from RNAcentral.